RNAcentral lists this small RNA (417 nucleotides) under Histoplasma capsulatum var. duboisii H88. RNAcentral's name for it is "Histoplasma capsulatum H88 hypothetical RNA". The record is from RNAcentral. Lineage: Eukaryota; Fungi; Ascomycota; Eurotiomycetes; Onygenales; Ajellomycetaceae.
CAUGGGCUGAAACAAAGCAACUGGUUGCGACCGCCGUCGCCCUUCGCGCUUUAUCCAUCCGGACCUUAUUCCCACCGAACAACUCACCUCCUCCAUGAAGCAGAUCCUGCAUUCGAAGAACUGAGGUGCUGGAAAUAAGAAGGUGUCAUUCACGAUUAUUGCACUUCAGGCUGCAGGCGCCUCGUUGCAUUGAUCCGAUCUCGCAUUCCAUCGAGAGAUAUCAAUGGCUGAGAGGCAAUGGCAAUUUUAGAUAUGACUGGGGCGAUGUACCAUUUUCCACUGCGCCGGCGUUGUUUGCAGGCGCUCUUAUUCUUAUAACCACUGCCUGACAGGCCAGCAUCAUUGAGGAUGAAUUGGCAGUUUUGGUUCAGUGGAAUAGCCUGACGCUACCGAUGACCGUGAAGCACAAUGCUAUGG